AUUGAACGCUGGCGGAAUGCUUUACACAUGCAAGUCGAACGCGAGAGGGGCUUCGGCCCCAAUUGAGUGGCGAACGGGUGAGUAACGCGUGGGUGACCUACCUUCGAGUGGGGGAUAACGUCCCGAAAGGGACGCUAAUACCGCAUAACAUCCUCUUUUUGAACAGAGGGAGAUCAAAGCCGGGGAUCGCAAGACCUGGC
Molecule: ribosomal RNA, 200 nt
Filed under: uncultured bacterium
Lineage: Bacteria
Description: partial 16S ribosomal RNA
Rfam family: Bacterial small subunit ribosomal RNA
Source: RNAcentral